RNAcentral lists this ribosomal RNA (370 nucleotides) under uncultured eukaryote. RNAcentral's name for it is "SSU rRNA". It matches the Rfam family "Eukaryotic small subunit ribosomal RNA", at positions 587 to 972 of the family's 1831-position model. The record is from RNAcentral.
AGCUCCAAUAGCGUAUAUUAAAGUUGUUGCAGUUAAAAAGCUCGUAGUUGAACUUUGGGCCUGGCAGGCCGGUCCGCUUUUUGGCGAGUACUGACCCUGCCGGGCCUUUCCUUCUGGCUAACCUCCCCUCUGGAGAGGCGAACCAGGACUUUUACUUUGAAAAAAUUAGAGUGUUCAAAGCAGGCCUUUGCUCGAAUAUAUUAGCAUGGAAUAAUAGAAUAGGACGCUUGGUUCUAUUUUGUUGGUUUCUAGGACCAUCGUAAUGAUUAAUAGGGACGGUCGGGGGCAUCAGUAUUCAGUUGUCAGAGGUGAAAUUCUUGGAUUUACUGAAGACUAACUACUGCGAAAGCAUUUGCCAAGGACGUUUUCA